GCGGCGCGGCCGGGACUUUGGUUUUGACACCGACAAGGAGCUGCGCGGUGGCGCUGGUGCUAGGGACUGGACGGGGCUCUGCUGGAUCCCGCGCCCGAGUUGGGCGCAGGACUUUUUGCCUGGAUAAACGCAGCUACGGCGGCGCUGCAAGUCUUGGUACCGCCGCGGCGCCCAGAUUUCUCCGCCGCUGCCGCUGCCACCGGGCAGCCCAGCUCUGGAAGAGCGACGUUGAGAAUUUCUCCCGCAGAAACAGCAGGGGCGCGCAGCCCGGGGCGGCGUGGGAGGGGGCCGGCCCGGCCACUGACCUCUGCCCGCGCAGGCGCCGGGGCUGGAGGCAGGGGUCCCGCGCUGUCCCGGGCUGGGCUCGGGCUUCGGAGCUGCAGGUGGACGAAGGACAGACGCCCGGAGAGAGCGGCCGAGAGGUGGCCAAGUCAAAGGUACUUUUUGAAACUCUAAGCAUGAAAGAUUUGGUACUUGCCUUUGGUAACCGCUUUCGCCCCUGAAUCCUGCAUCUUGCAAUCUUCCCUGUGUGAGGUCUCUUGGGCUCCUCCCUGGUCAGAGAGUUCUGAGAAGGUGAGGCCUUCCUUGACUCCAGCUUCUGGCUCACCAUGGGGAGCACCCUCGGCUGCCACCGCUCCAUCCCCAGGGACCCCUCAGACCUGUCCCAUAGCCGCAAGUUCAGUGCGGCCUGCAACUUCAGCAACAUCCUGGUGAACCAGGAGCGGCUUAACAUCAACACGGCCACAGAGGAGGAGCUGAUGACCCUGCCUGGGGUGACACGUGUUGUGGCACGCAGCAUCGUGGAGUACCGUGAGUACAUAGGAGGCUUCAAGAAGGUGGAGGACCUGGCCCUGGUCAGCGGCGUGGGAGCCACCAAGCUGGAGCAGGUCAAGUUUGAGAUCUGUGUAAGCAGCAAGGGCAGCUCCGCGCAGCACUCUCCCAGCUCCCUGCGGCGGGACCUGCUGGCGGAGCAGCAACCUCACCACCUGGCCACCACCGUGCCCCUCACCCCACGUGUCAACAUCAACACAGCCACCCCGGCUCAGCUCAUGAGCGUGCGAGGCCUCACAGAGAAGAUGGCUCUCGGCAUCGUGGAUUACCGCCGGGAGCAUGGACCCUUUCGCAGUGUGGAGGACCUAGUGAGGAUGGACGGUAUCAAUGCUGCCUUCCUGGACAAGAUUAGGCACCAGGUGUUUGCCGAAAGGUCCAGGCCCCCAUCCACCCACACCAACGGGGGCCUGACCUUCACUGCCAAGCCUCACCCCAGCCCCACCUCACUGAGCCUGCAGAGUGAGGACCUGGACCUGCCUCCAGGGGGGCCCACGCAGAUCAUCUCCACUCGGCCAUCGGUGGAAGCCUUUGGAGGCACGAGAGAUGGGCGGCCUGUGCUGAGGCUGGCCACCUGGAACUUGCAGGGCUGCUCGGUGGAGAAGGCCAACAACCCAGGGGUGCGAGAGGUGGUGUGCAUGACACUCCUGGAAAACAGCAUCAAGCUUCUAGCUGUGCAAGAACUACUUGACAGAGAGGCCUUGGAAAAGUUUUGUAUGGAGCUCAACCAGCCGAUCCUUCCCAACAUCCGCAAGUGGAAGGGGCCCCGGGGAAGCUGGAAGGCCAUUGUUGCUGAGAAACCUUCAAGUCAGCUCCAGAAGGGUGUGGGGUACUCAGGCUUCCUGUGGGACUCCACAGCCGGGGUGGAGCUGAAAGACACCUUCUUUCAGGACAGCAUGCCGGGCAAUGGGCACGGAAAACCCACGCAUCCCAGCCCUUACCUCGCACACUUCAAGGUGGGAAGUAAUGACUUGACCCUUGUGAACCUUCACCUGGCAGCCUUGACACUCCCAGGGGCUGAGAAUCCAAGCAAGAAUCACAGUGAGGGCCUCCGCCUGGCCAGCUUCGCACAGACCCUGCAGGAGACCCUGAAAGGAGAAAAAGACGUGAUCGUUUUAGGGGAUUUUGGUCAAGGGCCAGAUAGCAGUGACUAUGAUAUCUUGAGGAAAGAAAGAUUCUACCACCUGAUCCCCACGCACACCUUCACCAACAUCAGCACCAAGAGUCCUCAAGGCUCCAAGUCUCUGGACAACAUCUGGAUCAGUAAAAGCUUAAAGAAGGUUUUCACAGGUCACUGGGCCGUAGUGAGAGAAGGUCUCACAAACCCUUGGAUUCCAGACAACUGGUCCUGGGGCGGAGUGGCUUCUGAACAUUGCCCCGUGCUAGCCGAAUUUUACACCGAAAAGGACUGGAACAAGAGGGAAGGCCCUCGGAAUGGCAACGGGGUCACCUUGGAGCGAAGUGAAGCCAACAUUAAGCAUGAGCGAUGAUGACACCCAAUCGAUGUCUCACCCUCAGGCUUAGGGGGACACAGGAAAGGAGUCAGCCCUGCUGGAUGGCAGCAUGAGGUAUGAGCCAUCAUCUGAAACGUUGCAAAAGGGCUGAACUCCUGGGUUUCCCAAAACAACAAGAAGACAUCGAGUGUCUCCACCCAAGUGAGUUGCGCAGGGGGCUGGGUCUAGAAUGUGCGGGCCUAGUUACCAGGGUUCCAAGUUCAGUUGGGCCUGAUUGUCAAGGAAGUGAGGUUACAUCCCCCCCUUCAGAUAAGACCUCCCCAAAGGCUUCUCUGGGCUUCUGAGUGCUCACCUCUCCCUCAUGCCACCUCCAUAACUGUAUACGGUGCCACCAACACAGCCUUUCCCACAGAACUCAGGGAAGCCCUGGGUGCAUCCUAGGCCCCAGCUUCGAGAACACAGAGCUGGGUUCACACGUGGUCUGUGACCCUGGACAAGACAUGGUGCCUCUCGGGCUCUGCCCAGUCUCCCCACCUGCACAAUGGAGAUCAUUCUAGGAUCUACUGCCUAGGGACUUCCUCAGGUGUACAUAAGAUUGUCGUUGUUAGAUGCCAUCAAGUCAAUAUUGACUCUAGCGACCACGCGUGACAGAGUAGAACUGCUCCAUAGGGUUUCUUGCCUGUAAUGUCUCACAGAAGCAGAUCUCCAGGUAUUUGUCUCAGGGAGCCACUGGGUGGAUUCUAACCAUCAACCUUGCAGUUAGCAGCUGAGCCCUUAAUUAUUUGCAUCACCAGCGUUCCAUGUAUGAAAGAUAAUACCCAUAAAACCCUUGUGGUGGCAACACAUGUAGCUCAUGCAUAAACUUAGAGUUGAGUUUCAAGAAGAGGUGGAAGCAACAUGGAAUACAACUCAAAAUAGGGCUGGUUUCUGGUGGUGUGACCUUGGCAAAGUCACUUCCCCUCUUGGGCUCAUUUCCCAGUCUGCGUUAAAUGAAAAUCAGACAUCGUCACCCUCUGGUAUAAAAUCCUCCAAUAACAUCCCAUUAUUUUCAGAAUCUGACCCAAGUGCCUUGUCUCAGACUAGGCAGCUUGCACCAUGGCUCCCAACAAUCCCACCUCCUAUUCUACAUAUCUUUGUAUAAUCCCCUCCCUCUGAGUGUGUACUGAACUCAGGGAUUUGCUUUUAAGGAAUAGGCUAGGGCAAAGUGGUCUUGGCUCUUUCUUACAUUCUCUCUCUGUCUCUCUGGGGAAGCAGCUGCAAUGUAUGACCUGCCCUAUGUGGAGGGCCACGUGGCAAAGACCCAAAAGAGACAAAAAAAAAAAAAAAGACAACAAAGAGUGACUGAGGCCUUAGUGCAGCAUCUCACCAAAACUCAGCCCUACCAAUAACACGAAGUGAGCUUGAAAGUAGAUCCUCCCCUAGCUGAGCCUCAGUUGAGACCACAGCCCAGUAUCCUGAGACACUUUGAGGCAGAGGAACCAGCUAAGCCACACCCAGAGUUCUGGUCCACAGAAGCAGUGAGAUCAUCCAUGUGUGUUGCUGUGAGCCACUAAGCUUUGGGGUCAUGUUGUCACAGAGCAGGAGAUAACUCCUCCAGGCAACCAGGCCCUGGGAUCUGGGUCUGCCCUCAUCCCUCCCUUCCCUCUCUCCUGCCAAGCUCCUUCCACCACGCUGGCCACUAUCUAACCUCGUCUCUGGACAAACUUACUGCUGCCUUCAAGUCUCUGCACCAGCUGUGCCUUCUCUGUGUCUUACUGUCCCCAGAUUUAUGCAGGGCUGGCUCCCUCUUGUCAUUCUGGUCGAAACAUCAUGGUUACCUCAGUGAGGCCUCUCGGACCCCCACCUAGUCACCCCCAGCCUUCCCUCACAACACCCUGUUUUAUUUUCACUGUAACAGUUGCUUUUUUCUUUUGUUCUUGUGCAUUUGUGCAUCUCCCCUCCAGACUGUGAGUUCCUGGGGGCAGGGACCACGUAGGCCAUUUUCAGCACUAAUCCAGGUCAUAAAAUGGCACAUGGCAUGAGUGCUUGAGGGGCACGGUUGCUGAAUGCAGAGAUGAGAGGAUCUUGGAUUCCCUUCCCACCUCUGAGCACCUCAGAUUGUGGAGAUGUAUACUAAUAAUAGGAGGUGCAAGUCCAAGGCAAGGGGAUGGCCAGAAUGGCCUCACGGUGACUGAUCCUGGCCCCAGUUGCUUUAGCAAAGCCAAGAGGGGCACUACUGGCAGAAGAGGCUGCCGCCCCCUUGUGGCCAACCCUAGCACUGCAGCCCCAGGGAGGAAACCUCGCCACACAACUCACAACUUUGUGGUGUCCUCAAGGCAGUAGCUCUCCCUGACCCCAGGAAGCAAAGCAGUAGAACCUAUAGGCUCCACAGGGGCUGUGAGGGACCUUGGAAAUCUCCUUUGCCCCCUCUUUGGCUCCACUGGCCCUGGGGUGUCCAGCUCAGUCGUGAGGCACACUCCCCACAGCCAGGGCCAAGACUCUGGGCCCACUUUCACAGGAGGGCUCCGAGACUCCAACAGGUCCUGACCUUAAACCUGGACUUGUGGUCCUAGUGCCCUGUGUUGUUCUGUGUGACCCCACGUCCCCAAUUCACCAGACCACAAAUGGCAGGGAAAGGACGACUCGUUGAGUCAUUUAUUGUUAUAGGCUCCUCUGUUAAGGAGCUAGUAGAGCGGAUGGGGCUGAGCUGGGGAGGCAAACCAGUCCCAGAGAAGGGGAUGAGCGCUGGCAGUGGGGAUGGAGAGAUGGGAGAGCAAGUGCCAAGGUGGGCCACACUGGUGGUGUCAUGUGUCAGGGGGACAUGGGUUGGGGACCUGGCCCUGCUCCUUACCAGUGGGGCAGCCCCACCCACGGCUUGUCCCUAAGCGUCACAAAAACUGGAGUCUCUUUCACCACUGUAUCCCAGGAACAUGGGUGUGGUAACAAUUGUCUCGGCUGACUCAUCUGUACAGUGGAAUAAUUUUAUCCACGUCAGGCAUUUCCUGACAUCGGGCUGUCAAACACCAAGCGGGCAGCCUGGCACACGUGAGUGGCUCAGUAGUCAUGGCGGCGUCAGCAGCCAUAGGCGGAUAGUGGCUUCUCACAGUCUUGUCCUGCACAUCAGAACGGAAUUUUGAGUGUUCCUGGAACUUGACCUUUGUUAGGUGUUAUGAAUUGUGUCCCCCCAAAAUGUGUGUCCACUUGGCUAGGCCAUGAUUCUCAGUACUGUGUGAUCGUCCAUUUUGUCAUCUGAUAUGAUUUUCCUACGGGAUGUAAAUCCUACCUCUAUCAUGUUAAUAAGGCAGGAUUAGAGGCAGUUAUGUUAAUGAGGCAGGACUCAGUCUACAAGAUUAGGUUCAAUCUUGAGUCAAUCUCUUUCGAAAUAUAAAAGAAAAAAGUGAGCAGAGAGACAGGGGGACCUCAUACCACCAGGAAAUAAGAGCCGGGAGGGAGUGCGCCCUUUGGACCCAGGGUCCCUGUGCUGAGAAACACCUAGACCAGGGGAAAAUUGAUGACAGGGACCUUCCCCCAGAACCAACAGAGAGAGAAAGGCUUCCGCUGGAGUUGGCACCCUGAAUUUGGACUUCUAGCCUUCUAGACUGUGAGAAAAUUAAUUUCUGUUUGUUAAAACCAUCUGCUUGUUGUAUUUCUGUAAGUUAUAGCAGCACUAGAUAACUAAGACAUUAGGUUAAAAAAAAAAGCAGGAAAAGGAACAGGUUUGGGGAGAAGAUGCUGCAUUGUUUUGGACCCGUUAAACUAGUGGCGCCUGUAGGACAAGUGUCCAGGCAGUUGGGAUCAGGCUGGAGAAACCUGCUCUUCCGGAGUCUUCCAUGCAGAGCACCUCCAUGGUCAGGCCUGCCUCCCAGGCCAAACUGUGAGCAUGUAGAGAAGCUGGGAGAAGGCUGGCCACUCAUGACUGCAUGCAUGUCACUGGGCUGCUGUAACAAAGUACCACAAACUGGCUGGCUUACCACAACAGAAGCAUAUUCUCUCACAGUUCUGGAGGCCAGAAGUUCGAAAUCAGGGUGUUAGCUGGGUCAUGAUCUCUCUGAAGGCUCUAGGGGAGAAUCUAUUGCAUGUCUUUCUCUUAGAUCCUGGUAGCUGCUGGCAAUCCUCAGGCUCUUUGGCUUAUAGCUGCAUCAGUGCAAUCUCUGCCUCCGUAGUCACAUGCUGUUGUCUCCCUGUGUCUCUGUGUAUCCCUUUCUUUAUAAGGACACCCAUCAUGGGAUUUAGGGCCCACCCUACUCUAUUAUGACUGCAUCUUAACUUGGUUAUGUCUGCAAAGACCCUAUUUCCAAACAAGGUGUCACAGGUACGGGGCUUAGGACUUGAGCAUUUUUGCAGGGGGAGACACAAUUCAGCCCACCACAAAGACGACAAUGAUUUAUUGAGGGCAGGAAUCCUGUUACAUUGUCAUCUUUGUAUUCCCAGAACUUGGCACAUCCUAGCAUUGGGGGAGUAAAUGGAUGAAUGAAUGAAGCUUGGGGUUAGGGAGGGAUGACAGGCAUGUAAGCAACAAGGAGACAAACGUUAAGUGGGCAGUGGCUGUGCUCACCCCUCCACGCCCCAAGGAAGGCAAGACAAGGGCGGUGGCUGUGGGAGGCCUGGGUGGUACAGGCCACGGGGCAAAGCUCCCCCAGCUCACCUCUGUUGGCCUCUGUCACCAGAGCAGAUCCUGACCAGAGGAAGGGGACAUGCAGAAUAGAGAAGGCCUUGGAGAUCACUAGGGUAGCCGGUUUCUCACCUCAAGGGUAUCCCCUCUCUGGUUCUUCCCCUCCACGGCUUGUACCCUCUACAGGUAUCUUCAAAUCUGAGCAGCAGGGCAAGUCAUCUUAGGUUUAUCCAGCCCCUCCAGAGGGGCCCCUGGGAUGGUCCCAGAGAGAGCUGGAGGCCCCAGUAAGUUUAGGGUUACUCACAAGAGGAUGUGAGGGCACCCCCUCGUGGCAAUAAGAGCCAUGGGCCCAGAUGCCUGUUCAAAUCCAUCUGGCACUUGGUGUGACUUUGGCCAAGUUACGUGGCCUUCCCUAAGUUGCACUCAGUUUUUUCAUCUGAAAAAUGGAGAUAUUUCUACCUACCUUGUAAUUCUUCCAUUGUGAUGAAUGAGAUGCUGGACGUUGGGGGCACAUGAAAACAAACAAAAAAAACAAACCUGUUGCUGUCCAGUCAAUUUCAACCCUAUAGGCAGAGUAGAACUACCCCAUAGGGUUUCCAAGGCUGUAAUCUUUACAGAAGCAGACUACCACAUCUUUGUCCUACUGAGCGGCUGACGGGUUUGAACCACCAACCUUUCGGUUAGCAGCUGAGCACUUAACCACUGUGCCAUGAGGGCUCUUUUUUUGGCACAUUGGCAAUAAAUAAUAGUCAUCGUCACCGUCAUCAUCAUCAUCUUCAGUAGUGGCCAAGCUUCUCUAGGGAGGACAACAUGAGUGGAGGGUGGAUAGAAGUGUUUGGGGAGUUCCCAGACCACACAGAGGUGGCAUCAGUGACAAGGGGGCCAGGCAGAAUGGCAUCGAGAAAUGACAAUAUGUGCCACAGGGAUGAGGGGUUACUUUCUAGAGAAGUGAUUUGCACAACGCCCCCGAGUUCUAGGUGUUACGCAGAGCACAAUGCCCAGUGGUAGCCAUGAUUCAGUGCCAGCCCUCAGCCAGGCACCCGUGUGUGUGCACCAACCACUGUGAACUUGAACUCAGACACCUGGGCCUGAUAGGGAGGGGGGGUACAGGGAGGUGGGCCACCACUGAAAAUCAGGCUGAGAGCGUAACAGUGCAGGCAACACUCACUGGCAUAUCUGAGGCCAUGGGCAGGGGUGACAGGAGACCCUGACUUUGAGGGUCAAACCACAUAAGGCAUCCUUCACUUGGAGCUUUCUAUUCUGGGUGAACCAUUUGGUAUCUGCGCAGCAGGCAGAGCUCCAAUCAAUAGUGCCUGAUGGAAGAUGCAAUCCCUAAGUGCCCUGCUGACUCCCACUGUGAUGAAUUAUUUAAUGAGUGUUUGUUGUUGGAGGCUGAGAACAUUAAGGACUCGAGUUUCAUUGUGACAAGGAGUACAGCUGGCCUUGGGAGAUGUCCGGUAAGAAGGGCUGUGGAAAACCAGUGGCCUUGACAAAGGAGAUGGAGCAAACGUGAAUGUGACAGCCCAGGAGGUGUGUCCUGUGGUGUCAGGCUUGGGAGGCUGAGGAGCAGAGGCUGACCCAGGAGCUUGCUCUUGCCCUAGGAGCUCACCCACUGUGAAAGCAGACAGAUGGCAGAGAGCCAGGGGUGGCCAGACUACCUGGUCACUGCAGUCCUGGGCUACAGGCACAGCCUGGGAAAACAAGGACAAGCUUCGAAGGCCAAGGUGAGGGACUAUUGGGGGCACCCUGGAGCCCACUGGCUUUUGCUUCCCAGGGGUGUCCUGUUGGUUUCCUCAUCCCUGUUGGAGUGGGGGCACGCUCUCUUUUCCCCCGAUGUGUAUGCCUAGGUGGCCGGGUCGGGCUUGGUAAAGUGGACUAUUCAGGUCCGUAAGGGUAGUAAAUUCAAAGGCCUGCGGAAGAGCAGCAGGAGGAGGGUGUUGCUUUGUCCCUGGGGGGCCUGUUGUGUGGAGAUGGUUCACUGGAGCCCUCCUUCCAGGUGGCCUGGACAGGAAGGAGAUGGGAAAGACAGAAAAGGCCCCAGAAGAGAUUUCCCACCUGCAUGUGUUUUCCUGAGUUUGGGGGUCAAUCACGUAAGGCACGCUUUGCUUGGUGCUCUUGUUCUGGGAGGUUCACUUGGCGUUGGCUUAGCAAGAGGAGCUCCGGUCAAUAGUGAGUGAUGGAAGACGAAAUCACCAUGCGUCCUGCUCACUUCCACUGUGAUGAAUUAUUUAAUUAAAUGAUUAUUGCAGGCAGAGGCAUUAAGGACUCAAGUUUUACUGUGAUAUGGGUGAGUGCAGUUGGCUGGAGUCCUGUGAUCGCAUUAGAACAGGCUUCUUCGGCCAAAGCCUGAGCACGCAGCCAGAGAAAGGCGUGGGGCUGCCUGGCCGAGGCCCACUGUGUGUUGUGUGGUAAUCUCUUUGCUGUGAGUUCUGAGACACCCUGAAGGGGCACUUCUUAGCAGAGAUUUCAGAGACGGCCUUAUUCCUGGGCAAAUCAGGCAACCAUCCCUGACCCAUGAUUUGAAGAAUCCUAAGAAUUUUCUGGGCUACAAAUCCAUACAGUCAGGAGACCCAUGGUCUCGGUCCAGCUUCACCAGCCUUGCUGGUGGUGGUGCGCAAGUUGUGAACUGCAUUUCCCAGCCCUCAGCCUCCCUACCAACCGAAAGGGUUGUAUGUGAGCUAUCAGGCAAGACGGAUUUGACUUUGGCAGUGGUUCUCUUUGUUGUACGGAAGAAUUGCCUGCAGAGGUUUCUGGCAUUUAGACCCCUAAACCCUAACCAGGAGUCUGAUUACAGACCACUGAUGAGGUAUGGCCUGUGGCCCAGCCGAGUCUGUGAUGGUGCUCCGAGGCUCACAUUUUAAGAAAUACUGAUGUAAAAGGGACUUAGAUUAAAAACAGAAUGUCUAGAAAUUUGGGUGAACCAACUAUGUCAUUGCUAGCUGCCAUGAGCCAACCCCUGACUGAGGGUGACCCUAUGCACAAUGGAACAGAACACUGCUCGGCCCUGCACCAUCCCCAUGAUCAGACCAUCUUGAGCCGUAAGGUUUUUGUUGGCUGAUUUUCAUUACAUCACCAAGCCUUUCUUCCUAGUCCAGCUUAGUUGGGAAGCUCUGCUGAAACCUGUUCAGCAUCACAGCAACAUGUAAGCCUCCACUGACAGAUGGCAGCUGUGCAUGAGGUGUACUGGCUGGGAACUGAACCUGGGUCUCCCGCGUGGAAGGCAAAAAGUCUACCACUAAACCACGGAUGCCCCCUGACCCUAUUAUAAAUAAUACUAAAGAGGGUAGAGGUGGGGGCAACUAAAGUGUCAAGAAGAAGUGUAGUUUACUUAGAAUUUAUGUGGCUUUCAAAAACUGAAAAAAAAAAAAAAAUACACACACACACAAGAAAAAAAACUGUGGCCGUUGAGUCAAUUCUGACUCAUAGGUAGAGGGAUUCUUUCAGCAGGAAUAUAGCUACGAAUCCUAUAUAAGGAACCAGCAGGGCAGCAGAACAAGUUGACAGAUAACAGCAGGAGAACCAUUGUUUCUCUGACUAUUUCGUUAAGAGCGUGAGCACUUGGCCUCCCCCUCCUAAUGGAGCUGACUGACAGCAAUCAACAGAGAGAACCUUUUCAUUACUGUUAUUACCACACACAAGACCACUUUCCAAAGACUGACGUAGAGUAAAUCCUUACUAUUUAUACAAUUGGUAAGCAACUGGGGUUCUAGGAAUUUUUUGGACUUGUCUUCUGAAUCUUUCGGAACAUCAUUCAUCCUCAUCAUUUACUUACUUGAGAAGUCCAAAUCAUCAGAAAAUUAUAUUUUUACAAGUCAGUUUUCUUAGAGAGGGGCCUCGUGGGCCAGCAGGCAGGAGCUGGCAGAUUGAGUAGUUUGGAUACCGAGGCCCUCGACACAGAGGAUGUGAGCUGCCAACUAAGCCCAGUGAGAUGCGUAGGAGGACCAGGAAGAGCAGAAGCACCAUGAGGUGCCUGCCUGUGCCUCUUCCUUCACCGCUGGAGGCUGUAAGGCAAGCGCCCUGAUUCUCAUCCUCAACAUACAGUAUGUUCAUGUUCUCACAGCCUAGAAUUAAACAAAUCCAGUUACACUGUCUAAUCACUAAACACCUCUUCAGAUGAUGACCUAAAGGCCUUAGGGACUCCAGUGUACAGGAGGUCUGUUUACCUGGGGAAGAGUAGGGGUGGGGUGAGGGAGAUAGGCCUGUGUGAUCUUCGCCUUUAUUGGAAGACAGCCGGAGGCUUAAAGGGUCUGAAGACUCCACUGUUACUAUCUUGGGCCUGGUGACAGGCCUAGAGACCCAAAGACGCCACAGAGCUGUUGUGUGUCAAAGCAAGUUAAGGCUUGAGAUUAGAAAUUGUGAAUUCCCUAGUCUUGCCUGAGAUCCACAAACAAUGGUGACCUCAGUUUGUAUGCUCUUGUUGGUUGUUAAGCUGAGAAAUAGCUCUUUGGUCAGAGGAUCUGGUCUCUUUCCCUAGUUAUCUCCCUUCUCUUCCAUUUCUCCAUGAAGGAAAACUAGUUUGAGAGAAAAGUCUGAGAUGAUUAUGUUGGGAAGCUGUGGUAAGAUAAAAUAGAAUCUGAAUUUCAAGUUGCUCCUGUGUCAUAGAUACUGCUUUUAUUUCAAAUGGGCCCACUGGAAUGUUAUUGAAGAUUUCUCAAGAUUGUAAAUUGUAAAUAUACAGAGAAUGUGUAUUGCUGCUCAGCCCAAAUCAUCUCAAAGAAUUUUAUGACAGACUUGUCAGUGAGAGAUUUAGGUUGGACCAAGAAAGAAACAGAUGCUGGAAUAGGCCUGAGGGAAGACAUCAGUAACUCCUUAGAGUUCUUUAAAAGUGAUAUACAGUCCCCUCCUACAGAUGUUACGUUUGCUUGAAAUCAGAGUUUAGGUUGGGAUUUAGCUCUAAGGGCCAACUAACCAGCAAGAUUAAAUAUUUAGAGGCCCUCCAGCUAAAAAUAAAAUGCUGAAAGGGUUAAGAGUGGAAGACAAGGAAAAAAUAAAGGAACUAGUGUUCCCUCUAGUGGACAGUUGUGGAAUGGCAUGCAAAUACAAUCAAGACCUUGGAUGCUGGUGCUUAGGCUACCUAAAGGUCCUUCAAGCUGUUCUCUGCUUGCUGAUAUCCAACUGCUGACUGUUGUUGUAUGCCGUGGAAUUGAUUCAGACUCACAGCAACCCUAUAGUAUAGAGUAGAAAUGCCCUAUGGGGUUUCCUAGGCUGAAAUCUUUAUGGGAGCAGAUUGCUAGGUCUCUUCUCUUGAGGAGUGGCUGGUGGGUUGGAGCUGCCAAUCUUUCCAUUAGCAGCUGAAGGCUUAACCAUUGCUAACUAGAGCACUCCAAAUAACUCGCCAUUGCUCCCAACCUAGACAGAAUUGGAUCUUUCAACAUGAACUGGUUACAAAAAAUAAUUACUGUAUUUCCUAAAUCCAGGAGGGUCCAUUUACCUGUAGGAUCCAAGCUACUUAUUUUCCUUGGAGAUACUCAGUAAUUAACUAGGAAAGCGCUUUAAAGUAAAAUGAACAAGUUAUUUUUAAAAGAGAAACACCAAUGUUCAUUGCAACACUAUUCACAGUAGCCAAAAGGUUGAAGCUGCCUAAAUGUCCAUCGGGAGAUGAAUGGAUAAACAAAAUGUGGUAUAUACACACAGUGGAAUAUUACUCAGCCAUAAACAGACAUGAAGUUCUGAUACAUGCCACAUAAUAUGGAUGAACCUUGAAAACAUUAUGCUGCAUGAAAUAAGCCACAAAGGGACAAAUAUUGUGUGAGUCCACCUACGUGAAAUGUCUAGGCCUGGCCAGUGGUUACCAGGGGCUGUGGGAGAGAGGGGAAGAGGGGAUUCCCUGCUUAGGGGACACUGAGCUUCUGCUGGGGGUGGUGGGAAAAUCUGGAAACAGAGUAAUGGUUGAAACCAUGAUAAACAUACUAGUGUCACUGAGUUGGUACAUGUGAAGGAUGCUGAAAAGGCAAAUGAUUCGUUACAUGUAUCUUAUCACAAUUAAAAAAAAAGCAAGAGACAAUAUCUGGUUUAUCUAAAUUUGAGAUGUUCAAACAUUAGGUCACUAAGAAUUAAUUGCAGUUAAGAACUGUGGUAUAUAUCGUGUCAGGAUUUUUUCAGGUUUUAUCUCAUUCCCAUUUUUAAAAAGUUAAUUACUUAUAGAGUUCCAGGAUCUCUUGAAACCAUCCCCCACUGAAACCUCACCCAUUCUUAAAGAUCUUCCAUAGCAAGCUGACAAGUUUUGGCAUUUCACAUCCUGGCAUCAGUUGCAAGGCAUCAGUCCCUUUAGAUACUGGGGUUAUAGUGAAUAAAAAUGGACAGAAUCAUAGCCAGCUGACAGGGCUUUCCUACACACAGACAGAAGUUUGAAUUCAGACCAGUUACUUGCCCCCGAUGGGAGCGGGCACCUGCGCUCUCCUCUGUCCCUGCUCAGUUGCUCACAUCUUCUUACUGGACAAAGCGUGGGCUCCUUUGGGCACCUGGUGGAGGUGUCAAGGCGUCGAUCUCCCUCCAGUGCCCUGAUAACUCAAGUAGCUGCUGUGGUGGCCAAGUCCUUCCCCUGGGCUAAAACUGUUGGGUCUCCAAACAAAGCGUACAAAGAGCAAUCCUAACAGUGAACACUGACCACUCCUGUGUCCUUUGCUUCAGACACCUGGGUGUGCCCACUGAUUACAGCAGGUGUUCUUUUGGACCUGCUGGCUUAAUGCUGCUUUUCUGGCAGCAUUUCUGGGUAUGGGACUGGCUAUGCUGUAACCUGCAGCUGUGACUCUCUGCCUCACUGGACUGCUAACAAUUCUUCUCUUCAUGGGAGGGUGUCGGGCACUCAGCACAGAUCCUGCUCCUCACGUUGGUUCUAUGUAAGUUUAUUCCAUGUAUAAACCAAACCCACUGCCUUUGGGUCAAUUCUGGUAGUGACCCCAUAGGACACAGCAUUGCCUAUAGGGUGUCCAAGACUAUAAUCUUUUCAGAAGCAGACUGCCGUUACCUUUCUCCCACAGAGUGUCUGAUGGGUUCGAACCACAGACCUUUUGGUUAGCGGCCGAGUGCUUAACCAUUGCGCCACCAGGGCUCCUUCCUGCAUGUAUAAAAACACCUGUUGUCAAUUCUGACUCAUCACGGCCCUAUGGGAGAGUUCUAGGAGCUUUCCCUAGCAGUCGAGUCCUUAACCACAGCAUCACCAGGGCUCCUUCUUGCACGUAUAAAGAACUAAACCAGACCUAUUCCCUUUGAGUCGAUUCCGACUCACAGUGACCCUAUAGGGGACUGAAAUUAAAACACAGUUGUCCCUUCCUCCUAGCCCUUCUUGCUACCUCCACAGGAGAGUAUCCGCUGAAUUAGGGGAAAGGUGGGGCAUGGCAAAUGUAGUAUUUCUCUAUAAAUAAGGACAUUAGAAGACAAACAUGACCAAUGACCCUUUAAGUAAUUACCACACAACAAAAAGCAAGAAACACACAACAAAAAUAUAAUUAAGAUUUCAAAGAACAGAAGUUCACGUGCAUAAUAAUCCACACUCUUUGAAAACCUUGGUGCUAUUUAUUAUUAUACCUACACACAAUUUAAAAUACCCAAAGAUAUAUAAAAGAAACCAUACAAAUUUUAAACACUUUUACAAAGAUGAAAAUACAAAGAAAUGAAAACUCAAUGGAGUUGAUAAUGAACACUCGACAGGGUCACUAUGAGUCAGAAUCGACUCGAUGCCAAUGGGUUUUCUCUGUUAGAAUAACAGUGGAGAAAAUGGAUAAAAUCAUCAUCAAAAAAAAAAAAAACAACCAAAACCAAACCUGUUGCCAUCAAGUUGAUUCCAACCCAUAGUGACCCUAUGCCUAAAGCAAAUAAAUAUUAUAAUUUAAGGUAAUAUGAUCUUCAACUAUUUGUCCUACAUACUGUGCUAUAAUUUUAUAUUUAUGAAAACUUUUACUUUAGGGAACAAAACUGACCAUGACACUCUUUCAGGAAAGAGAAUUUGAGAUGCAUGAUAUAAUGUGACGGGAAUUCAGUGAAGCUCCUAAAUAAACAUUAACCUCAUCUUUAGUCCCAGCUUUUCAAGCUUAGAGCUCUUUAAGUAUUUCUGCUAAUCUGAAACUAUUUUUGGUUCAUUGCUAACUUUUAAAAUAUCUUAAGACAAUCGAUGCAACUUAAAGUCUUUUUCUUCUGGUGAGAGGCCCAUGUUUUGUCUUUAAACCAAAGCAGUAAGGCAAGUAAACGUUUCCUUUUCCAAACCCGACAGAGAGGCUAUCCAUUUGUUUUAAAAUGCAGGGACUAGAACCACUGCAGUUAAUCCUACCAAUAGGAAGUUAAGGCUGCUGUGAUUUUCCUUUACAUACCAGAACAUUAGAUUAGCCUACAAAUGUUGAAUUUACAACCAUUUAGGCUUAAAUCACAGGACAUAAAUAUUGCCAUUUCCGUCUAUAUUUCAACUCGUUAAUAAAACAUUGUCUUCACAAUCAAUACUUGAAAACCUGGUAAUACCUUUUGAAGUUUUAAGAUAAAGUUAGAAAACACAACACAAGGCUGAAACGACACAACUGCUCCAAGGAAAGAAGCGCUGGAGGCCUCCAGAGUGGUUUUCUGGGUCUGCCUAGUGCUGGCGCUCUGCCCACGCCCUGCUCGCAGGUCUGCAGGACAGUCACAGGACAGGCAUGGGCCUCCCAGCGCUCUGGCGCCCAAAGGCCUGGCCCUCUAUGCCAACAGUGAGAUGUGUGGUUUUGCAAGAAUCCCUUGGUGCCAGUUAGCAUAUAUCCUAUUUGCUGCCACCUCCUUCAAGACAAGCCCUUCCAGAUAGGUGAAGGAGAGAAAUGACACAACCUAACCUGAAAAGGAUUUCCUAAAAUCAUUUUCUAGCAUGAGUGGACUAGGCUUUGCAGCUAUGUACCCGCUGAUGUUAGCACCAUAUUUUAGCCUGAAUUGAAGUAAAGAUAAACUCUCAGAGAGUUUUCAUACAAUUACAGUAGCAAUCUUGAAUGGGGUGUUAACAGCAAUAUUCUUUCUGAUCAUUUAAGUAAGCUGGCUGAAGAGCCAUUCACCCCCAAGUAUUACCAAGUAAUGUCACUAACGCUGGUCCUGUGAAAGGGCCGACAUGUACUUCCUUGUAACUUGGGGGAUGCAAGUGGAGUAAUGGCCCAUAGUGAGUCGUUACCGCUAGAAAUAUGUUCUGAGCCUUUUUUUUUUUUUUUGCUGUCCCUAACUCCAGUUAAAGAUAUCCAACAAGAACUGCAGAAUACACUCUGGAGGUCUGAAAGGAAACCAACCUAAGUAUCUAAUUCUACUUAGACAGUAACUUGGGCAUGAACCAAUAAAUUAUAAAGCGAGGUGUAUAAGCUUUUAGCAAGGGAAAUAAUAAGGCAAAACAAAACUCUCAUUUCUGAAAUUCAAACUGUGUCAUUACUGGGUUGAAGAAGUCAAAGGUUUUCAUAAAAUACAUUGAGCCAUUAUCACAAGGCCACCUUACCAAAUGGCAUUGCCCAGAAAUUCCGUUUUUCAGGGCAUGGUCAAGUUUUCUGUAGGCAAUGCCCAGUCAAUAUCCAGCUCUACAUUUAAACUAGAUCAGUCUAUCUGCCACCUGCUUAUUAGACAGUCCAUUUAAGAAAAAGGUGAGUGGGUUCCAACUAUUUUAAUAUGUAUAGCUAAACAUGUCUCAAACCUGUACUUAUCACUUAUAUAAAGGAACGGAGAAGGAAAGAACCUAAAAGUUGGUUGAACUUGAGGGGGCACGGGUUUCACCAAAUACAAAUGGAGUUUAGUUAAGAGAUAACCAGACAAAAUGUGGCAAUUCUCUUAACUAGUUCCUAGAAGUGGGCAAGGUGAAACAACAACGUGUAAAAUAAAAGACUUAAUGAAAACUUUUCAAAUUGCUGUCUCCCUUCCUUUAAAAUCACAUAUACCAGAGAUAAGAAAUCUUAGAUAUCGCGAACUUUUGGGGGCAAUAACAAAACUGAUUUUUCAAAGGAGAAUAAUUAUCAUUAUUUAUCAAAUAAAAUAUAACCUCGGGGUUUGAAAGAUACUGGGAUUCAGUCAGUCUCGAGUCGGAGCUGGUCUUGGUGCUCAUGGAGAAGUUUAUCACUCAAUUCAAUCAAGAGUCUUCAAAACGCUCAUCAGCAGGACUUUCCUCUGACUCUUAGGAUUCAGAAGAAAAUAGGCGUAACGUUCCCCUGCAGCCCAUAGAAAGAUUUUAGGGAAAUAGUUUAAGGUUUGUACUAAAAACCUACAAAUUCAGCUGAACACUACAAGCCAUUCUUCAAAAAACUCCAUAAACAAUCAUUCUUCUUUUAUAAAUCUGUGGGUGCUGACUGCACCUACCUCGUAAUAUACACGGAGACGUAGCUAUGUGCGCAAGAAUGCAAACUAAGCUAUAAGAUCUUGCAGUUCGCUGUCAGACAAUUCAUUAACUUCCAUGAUCUUCUCCAAGUGUUCCAUGUAUCGGCCAUGGUCCUGCAGGAAGUGAGGGACCCUCAUGUUCUCAGUAACUGCCAGUCCUUUUAAGCGAUCCACAUCUUCAUAAGAAACCUAAAAAAAGAAAAGGAAGAUGGGUUAAUUUUAAAACUUAACUACAAGGUACAUUUUGAAGAGGAAUCUCUCCCAUGGAUCUUAAAUGAAAUUUUAAAUACACAGACUGUUUGCCAAAUUACUUUAAUAUAUGCAAAAAUAACCAAAAUCAGUGGCUUACUUUCUUUACUAUUUUAAAUAAGGAUGUAUUUACUGCCCCCUCAUAACCUGACCAUAUAAAAAAGGAUCAAAAGUCAACAUCUGAUUUAAUACCCUAUCUUAUACCUACUCUGGCUGGAAAUUAUACAACUAAACUUAAUAUAUACGCAAGUGUAAUAGGGAGAAUCUAAACAAAUCUCCCGACUAAAUCUAAAUAAAAUCAAGAAAACAGACAGGCUGUAAAUACCAUAUUAUCAAGCUAGGAAAAUCAGCACAAUUAUAUAUUGGAUUCCUCUUUCUAUUUCAUUUGGGAAAUAUAAUGAUUUGUUUUAAAUUCUUUUGCUUUUAUUUUGAAUUUUUGUGUUUUUUUUUUUCUGUUUUGUUUUGUUUUUUUUAAAUUUUACAUCUCUUUCAUUCUCCUGUGUAAGAAGCCAGUCUUUCAUAGGUAUUUAUACGAGCUUUAGUGAUGGAACGUUUUAGAAGUUCUAUAAAUUAUCUUUGCAUCUUUAAAUUCCAAAACAUGGUUGAGUUUAAAUAUUCUCAUUGUCUUCUAAUUAGUAUUCUUCCUGGUACAGAGGAAGGCUUAAGAACAAGAACAUAAAUCAUGUUUGCAUUAUAUCUGUAUUUUUUGAGGUAGUAGGCAAUGUUGUUGUUGCUGUUAGUUGCCACCGAAUCAGCUCUGACUCGUGGUGACCUUAUAUGAAUCAGCUCUGACUCGUGGUGACCUUAUAUAACAGAACAAAACACCAGCCGGUUCUGGGCCCCCUUCACGAUCACUAGUGUAUCCGAGUCCGCUGUUGUGGCUACUGUGCCCGUCCAUGUCGAUGAGAGUUCUCCUCGAUCCUCCACCGUACCAAACAUCUGCUGAUAUUGGUAUGCUUUAGUAAUUCUUAAACCAUUGUGAGUUUAUUAUAGGAGAGAAUGAGUAAAUAUAUUGAUAUUUUUGGGAAACAAGGUUCUCAUUUUAGGAGAAGGGAGAUACAAAUAUGGAAUGGGAUAGGACGUGUGAAAGAACCUUGUGGUGCUAGAUUUCAGCUGAAAUGCCUGUUCGAUUUAAAACAAAUAUAUAUGGUUUGCUCAUUGAAACAGUCUAGAAGCAACGGCAUAGGGUAGUAACAAGCAUUCCUAGUGCUCAGAUCUUGUUUUGUAAAUACCAUUUACCACUAAAAAGAAUCAAAGAUUCCUGGAGAAAUGAUUGAUCUCAGAUUUGGGUAGGAAAAGUAUAAGCCCCAAACAUUUUAGUAUACCAGAAAACAUGGAGAAGUGUUUAAAAUAAAAAAAUAAAGGAGCAGGCGUUAAGGAUUGAAUAAAAAAGAAUAAAUGCAUAAUACUACUACAAAUAGGGGAAAGGGGAGUGACAGAAGAAUUGGAAAAUCUCUGUUUUGGUACCAUUAGAGUAAUACUUGGGGACCUGGUGGCUCAAUGGUUAAGAGCUCAGGCUGCUAACCAAAAGGUCGGCAGUUCGAACCCACCAGCCACUCCUUAGAAGCCCUAUGGGGCAUACUACUCUGUCCUAUAGGGUCACUAUGAUUCGGAAUUGACUCGACGGCAAGGGGGUUUAGUGUAAUAUUUGAUUCAGGCAGAGAUCAUGAAUGGAUGUUAAAAGCACUUCUUGACAGGUUGUUGGGGAACGGCGCAUUCAAAGGUUUAUCACCCCACAGAUUACUCAUUAAUGUGGUGGGGGAAAGGUACCUUUACAAUGGAGAGAUCUGGCAGUUACUAACUUAAACAGGUGUUCAAACACAGCAUCACCAAUAAUGGGACAAAAUGACAUUAUACGCCUUCUAAUGUGAUGCAACAGAAAAUAGACAACGUAACUUAUAUAGUAUUCUUGCAGAAAAUGUUUAACCUGAAUCUAAUCAUGAGAAACAAUCUGAUAAUCUAACAAUCCAGAUUCUAGGAAUUCUCAAGAAUACUGUCCUGGACUAUUUAAAGUGUCAUGAAAAAAGUAAAGUAGACUGGAUCUUAGAUGGAAACCCUGGCGGUAUAGCGGUUAAGUGCUCUGGCUACUAACCGAAAGGUCAGCAGUUUGAAUCCACCCGGCGCUCCUUAGAAACUGUAUGAGGCAGUUCUACUCUGUCCUAUAGGAUCACUCUGAGUUGGAAUUGACUUGAUGGGUUGUUUUUUUUUUUUUUUUGGUAUCUUAGAUAUUAUUUUAAAUUACUGAUUAAUUUCUUAAAUAAGAAAAUGGUAUUAAGGUCAUGUCAGAAAAUGUCCUUGUUCUCAGCAGAUACAUGAAGUAUUUAGGGAUGAAAUCUUAGGUCUAUGGCUUACUUUAGAAUACUCUCAAAAAAGACGUGUGUAAAAAUAAAAACAUAUAUUCCCAAAUGUCUUAUUCCCGUCUUUAUCUUUUAUUGGCCACAAAGAAAUUUUGCAACUAUCUUUGUUCCCUCCUAUCACACAAAGGACACUUACUCUGACAAUAAACUAAAAACAGUUUGACCCUGAGUCUUAUUUAACCAUGAAGUCAAGCUGGAGACCAGGCUGACCUUGUGUGUUUGGGGACUACGUGUUGGUUUUGCUCACCUUUCCCAGGGUGGUCAGCAGGUGAAAGUCAAUGGUCUCUCUGUAUCGCAGGAUUUGAAGGAUUCCAUCCAAGUACACCUGGUCUUUACUGAAACACCCUGGAGGAACCAGAACACUGUUUACUUUCUGAUGUUUAAGCAAAACACUAAGUAAUUAAGCACUAAUGUAUUCCCUUUACAGGAACCAGUCCUGUAUACAAAUUCUAAUUUGCCACAAGUGUAUUUUUAUUUAACUAUCUUCCUAACAAAAAAUGUAAGGUCUUGGGAGGAGCCAUGAUACACAGACUAGUAGCUUCUCUACUCCCAGCCCCCCAUCUCAGUAACUAAAAUAACAUUUUUUCCAUAAAGAAUGACUAGGAAUUUAAAACAUACGACUUUUAUAAAUGAUUAUCCCAACCCCCCAACUCCCAGCCAUCAAAUCAUAACUAUAACGCACAUCCUGCAAUGAAGGCAUCUGGUUGGGGAGGGCUGGGAGCUGGUGGAACUUCAGAGCAGUGGGUCUACAAGGGGGCAGUGUGGAGACAUUCGAUUUACAUCAGGAACGGCUGUGGGGUAUUUGGCUGCGGGGUAUUUUCCGGUUAUACCCCUCCUCCCAUUAAAAAAUGACUAAGGUUUGAAACCACUCUCUUGGUGAUUCUAUUUCUCCCUAUGAAAACAAGAAUCAGAAUUCGAUUUUAAAGCAUUUGAUUUAAAGAAUAUGCAGGUCUAAAAAUAUAAAAACUGUGGAUAGAAAUAAAAAAACAUGGCUAAAGAAGACAUGAAAAGUAGGAACAGCUCAAGAUCUGAGCAGAGUUAGAAGAGAAUGUUCUGCUUACAAAGAAAACUUUUCUCCCAUCCUGACGAAGCUUGAGUUUUUUAAAAAUUUUGCUCUAUUAAAUGGACUAAAAUUCUACCCACAAGGAGAUUCAUAGACUCGGGAAUUAUUAUUAAUUGUGUUAGAAUUGAUAACGGCAUGGGGAUUCUGCAAAAAAAAAAAAAAAAAAAAAAAGCUGUUCUCAUCAGAGAUGUACACUGAAGUAUUCAUGGGUAAGAGGAUAAGACAUCUGGAGUUCACUCUAAAAUACCAUAGGAAAACAGGAAGCUGAGAGAAUAGCUGAAUCACAAUUAGAAAGUGUUGAUCAUUGUUGACACAGGGUAAUGUAUUAAUGAGCAUUCAGCAUAUCAACUGUUCUACUGUGUAUGUUUGGAAAUUUCCAUAAUAAAAAGCUUUUUUAAAAAGUAUGUGAAGAAAAUAGACUAGACUUAAAAAAAAAAAAAGUAAAGUCCCUCCUCCA
Loxodonta africana (African savanna elephant) is the source of this 21295-nucleotide RNA transcript. It is a transcript of the gene named endonuclease/exonuclease/phosphatase family domain containing 1, with no coding region annotated. The transcript is spliced from 9 exons. NCBI's taxonomy places the organism in Eukaryota, Metazoa, Chordata, Mammalia, Proboscidea, Elephantidae. The record is from RefSeq and is a predicted model, not a curated record.